AAACGGGCAAUUUUGGGCAAAAAGGGGCAUUUUGGGGCUGGAAAUGACUUGUUUUGGUGGGGAGAAGGGCCAUUUUGGGGCAAAAAAGGCCAAUUUUGGGGCAAAAAGGGUCGUUUUUUGGGCAAAAAAAGGCCAUUUUGGGGGCAAAAAAGGCCAUUUUGGGGCUCGAAAUGGGGCAUUUUGGGGCAAAAAUGGCCAUUUUGGGGGCAAAAAGGGCCAUUUUGGAGCUGGAAAUGGGGCAUUUUGGGGCAAAAAGGGGCAAUUUUGGGCAAAAAGGGGCAAUUUUGGGGCAAAAAAAGGACAUUUUGGGGCCAAAAGUGUUGUUUUUUGGGUGGAAAAGGGGCAUUUUGGGGGCAAAAAAGGCCAUUUUGGGGCUGGAAAUGGGUCAUUUUGGGGCAAAAAUGGUCGUUUUUAGGGGGAAAAGAGGCAUUUUGGGGGAGAAAAGGGUCCUUUUUGGGGGAAAAAGUGCCAUUUUGGGGCAAAAAUGGUCAUUUUUUGAGGGGAAAACAGGCAUUUUGGGGCAAAAAAAGGCCAUUUUUGGGGCAAAAAGGCCAUUUUGGGGCUGGAAAUGAGCUGUUUUGGGGGGAAGAAGAGCCAUUUUGGGGCAAAAAUGGCCAUUUUGGGGCAAAAAGGGUCAAUUUGGGGGGGGAAAUGGGUGUUUUGGGGUCAAAAAAGGCCAUUUUUGGGCUGGAAAUGGGGCAUUUUGGGGCAAAAAGGGGCAAUUUUGGGCAAAAAAAGGUCAUUUUAGGGGCAAAAAAGGCCAUUUUGGGGCCAAAAGUGUCGUUUUUUGGGUGGAAAAGGGGCAUUUUGGGGCAAAAAUGGCCAGUUUUGGGGCAAAAAGGGUCAAUUUGUGGGGGAAAAUGGGUGUUUUGGUGGCAAAAAUGGUCAUUUUGGAGCUGGAAAUGGGUCAUUUUGGGGCAAAAAAGGCCAUUUUGGGGUGCAAAGAGCCCAUUUUUGGGGCAAUAAAGGCCAUUUUGGGGCUGGAAAUGAGCUGUUUUGGGGCAAAAAGGGCAAUUUUUGGGGGAAAAGGGGCAAUUUUGGGGGGAAAAAGGGCCAUUUUGGGGCAAAAAUGGCCAGUUUAGGGGCAAAAAGGGUCUAUUUGGGGGAGAAAAUGGUCAUUUUUGGGGGGAAAAUGGGCAUUUAGGGCAAAAAUGGCCAAUUUUGGGGCAAAAAUGGUUGGUUUUUUGGGGGAAAAGGGUCAUUUGGGGGCAAAAAAAGGCCAUUUUGGGGCUGGAAAAUGCUGUUUUGGGGGGAAAACGAGCCAUUUUGAGGGGAGAAA
Molecule: long non-coding RNA, 1279 nt
Filed under: Coturnix japonica (Japanese quail)
Lineage: Eukaryota; Metazoa; Chordata; Aves; Galliformes; Phasianidae
Description: lncRNA (ENSCJPG00005006337.1)
Source: RNAcentral